GCGCUCACUUCAGCAGCACACAUGCUAAAAUUGGAACCAUACAGAAGAUUAGCAUGGCCCUCGCACAAGGAUGACAUGCAAAUUUGCUUUAUAAAAUAAAUUUUA
Molecule: small nuclear RNA, 105 nt
Organism: Propithecus coquereli (Coquerel's sifaka)
Lineage: Eukaryota; Metazoa; Chordata; Mammalia; Primates; Indriidae
Source: Ensembl